CCUACGGGAGGCAGCAGUGAGGAAUAUUGGUCAAUGGACGAGAGUCUGAACCAGCCAAGUAGCGUGAAGGAUGACUGCCCUAUGGGUUGUAAACUUCUUUUAUAUGGGAAUAAAAUGUUCCACGUGUGGGAUUUUGUAUGUACCAUAUGAAUAAGGAUCGGCUAACUCCGUGCCAGCAGCCGCGGUAAUACGGAGGAUCCGAGCGUUAUCCGGAUUUAUUGGGUUUAAAGGGAGCGUAGGUGGAUUGUUAAGUCAGUUGUGAAAGUUUGCGGCUCAACUGUAAAAUUGCAGUUGAAACUGGCAGUCUUGAGUACAGUAGAGGUGGGCGGAAUUCGUGGUGUAGCGGUGAAAUGCUUAGAUAUCACGAAGAACUCCGAUUGCGAAGGCAGUUCACUGGACUGCAACUGACACUGAGGCUCGAAAGUGUGGGUAUCAAACAGGAUUAGAUACCCCUGUAGUC
RNAcentral lists this ribosomal RNA (460 nucleotides) under uncultured bacterium. RNAcentral describes it as "partial 16S ribosomal RNA". It matches the Rfam family "Bacterial small subunit ribosomal RNA", at positions 338 to 795 of the family's 1533-position model. The record is from RNAcentral.